Molecule: ribosomal RNA, 253 nt
Filed under: uncultured bacterium
Lineage: Bacteria
Description: partial 16S ribosomal RNA
Rfam family: Bacterial small subunit ribosomal RNA
Source: RNAcentral
AACGUAGGAGGCAAGCGUUAUCCGGAGUUACUGGGCGUAAAGCGCGUGUAGGCGGGUUGGUAAGUUACUUAUGAAAGCUCCUGGCUAAACUAGGAGAGGUUGAGUGAUACUGCCAGUCUUGAAUAGAGGAGAGGUUGACGGAAUUCCGCGUGUAGUGGUGAAAUGCGUAGAGAUGCGGAAGAACACCAGUGGCGAAGGCGGUCAACUGGCCUCAUAUUGACACUCAGACGCGAAGGCAUGGGUAGCGAACGGG